Molecule: ribosomal RNA, 241 nt
Filed under: Triticum aestivum (bread wheat)
Lineage: Eukaryota; Viridiplantae; Streptophyta; Magnoliopsida; Poales; Poaceae
Description: rRNA SSU_rRNA_eukarya
Rfam family: Bacterial small subunit ribosomal RNA
Source: RNAcentral
UGCUGGAAUUAAUCGGAAUAGGUGAGAACAAAGUUACGAACGGAUGCGUAAUGCGUGGGAAUCUGUUGAAUAGUUUGGGCCGAAUUCUGAAGAAAGUUCAAAGCAUUGUUUGAUGAGCCUGCGUAGCAUUAGUUAGUUGGUCAGGUAAAGGCUGGCCAAGCCAAUGAUGCUUAGCUGGUCUUUUUGAAUGAUUAGCCACACUGGGACUGAGACACAACCCAGACUCCCAUGGGGGGCAACA